UAGAAAUAUCCCUUCCUUGCUGACUCAAUUGUGGUGGAACAGGUUCAUGGAUCAUAACAAGGCCAAGGGUAGAAACAAUUUAAGAAAAAUAUCCUGCACUCCAGCUUAUUACAGAGGUAAAAGCUGAAUUUUAAAGAGUAAACUACAAGUUGAUCCAUGAUAUGGUUGGCAAAUUUCAAUCCAUUGAUCCAGAAAAAUAUUUUGGACUAUGCCAAGAAAUGUAACAAGAAAACUACAUUUGUUCUUAUAAACAGAGUGGAGAGAGCAAUUGUUGGGAAAUCAGACAUCAAGAGCACAGUUGCUUAGAUUUUGAAGGAACUAUUGAAGGAGAAUGCAGGAGAAUCUCAGUCUCUCUUCUUUAAGAUUUGUUCUGUUGUUGAUUCCAUAGAUCAGGAUAAUUGGUUCAGAAGACCUUUCAGAUGUUCAAACUUUGAUGAUUGCGGUGGAGGGGCAAAUGUUAACUUAUUCAAGAACAGACUCAACCUUAUUUUAUCUACUAAACAUGGAGUACAUUGCUGGUGUGGCAAAUGGAAACUGCUCUCGUCAGGAAGCCUUAGCCUUAGGACAAAAACUUUUAAAGGACGUUAAGUACCCUAGACAUUUUAUACACUCUUGUACAUAGAUUUUCCUGUCACAACAUAUGUAGAAAUAAA
This is a long non-coding RNA of Dendronephthya gigantea, 653 nucleotides long. RefSeq lists it as uncharacterized. The record is from RefSeq and is a predicted model, not a curated record. NCBI's taxonomy places the organism in Eukaryota, Metazoa, Cnidaria, Anthozoa, Malacalcyonacea, Nephtheidae. The transcript has 5 exons.